Molecule: ribosomal RNA, 119 nt
Filed under: Pteropus alecto (black flying fox)
Lineage: Eukaryota; Metazoa; Chordata; Mammalia; Chiroptera; Pteropodidae
Also listed under: 1 other name
Source: RNAcentral
GUCUAUGGCCAUGCCACCCUGAAUGUGCCUGAUCUCGUCUAAUCUCGGAAGCCAAGCAAGGUUGGGCCUGGUUAGUACUUGGAUGGGAGACCACCUAGGAAGACCAGGUGCUGUAGGAG